UACGGAGGUUCCCAGCGUUGUUCGGAAUUACUGGGCGUAAAGGGAGCGCAGGCGGGUUGCUAAGUCUAAAGUGGAAGCCCGGGGCUCAACCUCGGACGUGCUUUGGAUACUGGCAGUCUUGAGUUCGCGAGAGGAAAGCGGAAUUCCAGGUGUAGCGGUGAAAUGCUUAGAUAUCUGGAGGAACACCAGUGGCGAAAGCGGCUUUCUGGCGCGAAACUGACGCUGAGGCUCGAAAGCGUGGGGAGCGAACAGG
Molecule: unclassified non-coding RNA, 253 nt
Filed under: uncultured Hydrogenedentota bacterium
Lineage: Bacteria; Pseudomonadati; Candidatus Hydrogenedentota
Description: uncultured Hydrogenedentes bacterium contains 16S-23S intergenic spacer region
Rfam family: Bacterial small subunit ribosomal RNA
Source: RNAcentral